AUGUGCUCCUAUUUAUGACAAGAUUGCAUCUAAGGCAAAGUCAAAUGCAUUUGUCUCUAUAAAAAAUACUUUAGAGAAGUCAAUACAAUAUAAGAUUGGUGCAGAAGUAAAAGCUUUCUUCAAAGCUUCAAGUGAUGCUUCUACUUCUUUACUCCACUUGAGCUUGUCUUUACAAGUUAAGCAUUGUCAUAAUACAUGGCAUUUUGCUUAAAAAUGCACUGGACACCUAGCUAUAAAAGAUAAAAAGAAAAUUGCAACAAUAAGUCCUAACAACUCUAAUAGAUUUUUAAACAAAUUAUAAUUAAAGAUUAGCAAAUAUGAUAAAAAAAUCAAUCAAAUUCAAUCAAAAUUUCAAAGGAAUUAUAUAAGAAAUACAAAGUAUUCCUAGAAACCUUUUAAAAAAUCAUAAAAAAAUAAUAUAGAAAUUUAAAAAUAUACUAAAAUAGAAACCUUAAUAAAACCUUAAUCAAAAUCUAAUUAAAUUUUAGUUAAAUCCUAUCUAAUCCUAACCAAAUCCUAAAUAAAUCCUAAUCAAAUCCUAACAAAUCCUAAACAAACUUUAACCAAAUCUUAGUCAAAUCCUAAACAAAUCCUAACCAAAUCUUAAAAGAAUCUUAACCAAAUUCUAAUCCAAUCCUAAACAAAUUCUAAACAAACUUUAAUCAAAUCUUAAACAAAUCUCAACCAAAUCCCAACCAAAUCUUAAAUAAAUCCUAAAUAAACUUUAAUCAAAUCCUAAAUAAAUCCUAAUGAAAUCCUAAACAAAUUCUAAAUAAAUCCCGGUCAAAUUCUAAAAAAUUCUAAAUAAAUCUUAGUCAAAUUCUAAAUAAAUCCUAAUUAAAUAUUAAAUAAAUCUUAAAUAAAUCCUAAAUAAAUCCUAACCAAAUCUUAAAUAAAUCUUAAAUAAAUCUUAAUCAAAUCCUAAAUAAAUUCCAACCAAAUCUUUAAUAAAUACUAAUAAAAUCCUAAUCAAAUCCUAAACAAAUCUUAAUCAAAUCCUAAACAAACCUUAAUCAAAUUCUAAAUAAAUUUUAACCAAAUUCUAUACAAAUCCUAAAUAAAUCCUAACCAAAUUUUAGUCAAAUCCUAAUUGAAUCCUAACCAAAUCUUAAAUGAAACCUAAACAAACCUUAAUCAAAUCCUAAUCGAUCCCUAAAUAUAUCCUAACCAAAUCCUAAAUAAUUCCUAGUAAUUCCUAUUGUAGAUUUAAACCUCAAUAUCUAAUGAAUGAACUAUCGAUUUUAACUCAAAUUUUUCACACCUUUUAAUAAUUAAGUUGAAAAUAAGCAUAAAAUUUUUAAAGAAGAUCGAACUCACCAAAGAGAAGAUCAAUCCUAAAAUCUACUUAGAUGUUGGUCGGCCUCCUUCUUCAAUCUUAAUGUUGAAUUUCUAGUACCAAUAUCUCUUUAUCAAACAAUUGAAUUGAUCUCAAAAUUCUUAUUUAUGUAAGAAAAUAAGUCUACUACCUAUAUACAUAACUUUCAUUCCAAUCCAACUAAUAGAUUGCAAGAAAUCUUAGAAACCUUUACUAGACAUAAAAUUCUACUUUUUGAGACCCUGAC
This 1562-nucleotide long non-coding RNA is filed under the name Physcomitrium patens. RNAcentral's name for it is "long non-coding RNA (PPAT_LNC006071)". The record is from RNAcentral. Lineage: Eukaryota; Viridiplantae; Streptophyta; Bryopsida; Funariales; Funariaceae.